GUGGGGAAUCUUCCGCAAUGGACGAAAGUCUGACGGAGCAACGCCGCGUGAGUGAAGAAGGUUUUCGGAUCGUAAAGCUCUUUCGUUAGGGACGAACGUGCUCUUUGUGAAUAAUGGGGAGUAAUGACGGUACCUAAAUAAGAAGCCACGGCUAACUACGUGCCAGCAGCCGCGGUAAUACGUAGGUGGCAAGCGUUGUCCGGAAUUAUUGGGCGUAAAGCGCGCGCAGGCGGGAUAUCAAGUCUGUCUUAAAAGUGCGAGGCUCAACCUCGUGAGGGGACAGAAACUGGUAUUCUUGAGUGUCGGAGAGGAAAGUGGAAUUCCAAGUGUAGCGGUGAAAUGCGUAGAGAUUUGGAAGAACACCAGUGGCGAAGGCGACUUUCUGGACGAUGUCUGACGCUGAGGCGCGAAAGCUAGGGGAGCGAACGGGAUUAGAAACCCCGGUAGUCC
RNAcentral lists this ribosomal RNA (450 nucleotides) under uncultured bacterium. RNAcentral's name for it is "partial 16S ribosomal RNA". It matches the Rfam family "Bacterial small subunit ribosomal RNA", at positions 354 to 796 of the family's 1533-position model. The record is from RNAcentral.